UGGGGAAUAUUGCGCAAUGGGCGAAAGCCUGACGCAGCGACGCCGCGUGAGGGAUGAAGGUUUUCGGAUCGUAAACCUCUGUCAGAAGGGAAGAAACCGCACUGUGCUAAUCAGCAGUGCCUUGACGGUACCUUCAAAGGAAGCACCGGCUAACUCCGUGCCAGCAGCCGCGGUAAUACGGAGGGUGCAAGCGUUAAUCGGAAUUACUGGGCGUAAAGCGCACGUAGGCUGCUUUGUAAGUCAGGGGUGAAAUCCCACGGCUCAACCGUGGAACUGCCUUUGAUACUGCUUAGCUUGAAUCCGGGAGAGGGUGGCGGAAUUCCAGGUGUAGGAGUGAAAUCCGUAGAGAUCUGGAGGAACAUCAGUGGCGAAGGCGGCCACCUGGACCGGUAUUGACGCUGAGGUGCGAAAGCGUGGGGAGCAAACAGG
RNAcentral lists this ribosomal RNA (429 nucleotides) under Fusobacteriota bacterium. Its description in RNAcentral is "Fusobacteria bacterium partial 16S ribosomal RNA". It matches the Rfam family "Bacterial small subunit ribosomal RNA", at positions 355 to 776 of the family's 1533-position model. The record is from RNAcentral. Lineage: Bacteria; Fusobacteriati; Fusobacteriota.